UACGUAGGGUGCGAGCGUUGUUCGGAAUUACUGGGCGUAAAGGGCUCGUAGGCGGCCAACUAAGUCAGACGUGAAAUCCCCAGGCUUAACCUGGGAACUGCGUCUGAUACUGGAUGGCUUGAAUUCGGGAGAGGGAUGCAGAAUUCCAGGUGUAGCGGUGAAAUGCGUAGAUAUCUGGAGGAAUACCGGUGGCGAAGGCGGCAUCCUGGACCGACAUUGACGCUGAGGAGCGAAAGCUAGGGGAGCAAACGGG
Molecule: ribosomal RNA, 253 nt
Filed under: uncultured bacterium
Lineage: Bacteria
Description: partial 16S ribosomal RNA
Rfam family: Bacterial small subunit ribosomal RNA
Source: RNAcentral